GACGAACGCUGGCGGCGUGCUUAACACAUGCAAGUCGAACGGAAAGGCCUGCUUUCCCUUGUGGAUUGCGGGUACUCGAGUGGCGAACGGGUGAGUAACACGUGAGUGAUCUGCCCCCAACUUGGGUAUAAGCCUGGGAAACUGGGUCUAAUUCCCGAUAGGACUGCAGGGUGGUGCCUGUGGUGGAAAACGAUUUUCUAGUGGUUGGGGAUGAGCUCGCGGCCUAUCAGCUUGUUGGUGGGGUAAUGGCCUACCAAGGCGGCGACGGGUAGCCGGCCUGAGAGGGUGGACGGCCACAUUGGGACUGAGAUACGGCCCAGACUCCUACGGGAGGCAGCAGUGGGGAAUAUUGCACAAUGGGCGGAAGCCUGAUGCAGCGACGCCGCGUGGGGGAUGACGGCCUUCGGGUUGUAAACUCCUUUCGACCGAGAGGAAGCCACCUGGUUGGAAGGGUGGUGACGGUAGUGGUAGAAGAAGCACCGGCUAACUACGUG
This 494-nucleotide ribosomal RNA is filed under the name uncultured bacterium. RNAcentral's name for it is "partial 16S ribosomal RNA". It matches the Rfam family "Bacterial small subunit ribosomal RNA", at positions 28 to 507 of the family's 1533-position model. The record is from RNAcentral.